UACGUAGGGGGCAAGCGUUGUCCGGAAUUAUUGGGCGUAAAGAGCGUGUAGGCGGUCCGGUAAGUCAGCUGUGAAAGUCAAGGGCUCAACCCUUGAAUGCCGGUGGAUACUGUCGGGCUAGAGUGCGGAAGAGGCGAGUGGAAUUCCUGGUGUAGCGGUGAAAUGCGCAGAUAUCAGGAGGAACACCGAUUGCGAAGGCAGCUCGCUGGGACGUAACUGACGCUGAGACGCGAAAGCGUGGGGAGCAAACAGG
Molecule: ribosomal RNA, 253 nt
Filed under: uncultured bacterium
Lineage: Bacteria
Description: partial 16S ribosomal RNA
Rfam family: Bacterial small subunit ribosomal RNA
Source: RNAcentral